AGGAGUGUUGGACACAGGACCACCCUGUGUGCAACGCAGGACAGUUAGCUGUCACACCUCAAAAUCUGAAUUACCCUUGUCCGAACUACACACCUCUGCUAUAUGAACUGCGACCAUUUUGUGUCAAAUAAACCUCCUUCUUCAUCAUUACUUCAACCGAACCACACGUGCUUCUGUCUAUUCCUAAUUUCCCUACGGCACUGCAAAUCUCUAACAAAGAUACCAUUCUUUUCAUGAUAAGUUUGAUCGAAGAAUCAAAAUAAAACCAAACAGCAUGACGCAUGGCGUGAAAUUAGUGUAAUUUCAGAUACACCUGUCGACUGUUUGGUGAGGAAAUGGAAGUCACUUUGUGGCUCUUUCCGUUUCUACCAUGCAAAGGAACAAAAAAGUAAAGUGACUGGUUCAUCUUCAUCGAGCAUAUAUAAACCAAAAUGGUUUGCAUACAGAGCAAUGCAUUUUAUGCAUCAUGCAAAGGAAACUGCAUCAACAAUGGACACCCUCUUUCGGACUAUUCAAACCGCAUAACUGAGUUUGACGAAUAUCCUUCUGAAGACUGGCUAAAGCAGAGAAACGAUGGGAAGGAACUGGCCAUCAUCAUCAUCAUCAUCAAACCCUUUAACAUCACACCAAGAGACUUCAGACAUAAAAAUACCUAUAGUUGUGGAUCUAAAUUCUCCAAUAGACUACUAUUGGAUACAAUUGGACUACUAUCCAAUAGGCUACUAUUACGCCAGAUAAUUUAGAACAAACUGCUGAAUUGAGGGUUUUACCAAAUACUCCAAUACAAAACACACAACACCCAGUUAUGUCGGAGUCGUCGACAAGAAUAUCAAUCAGUAAUAUACUAAACAACCAACCAUCCAUACAACAGUUAACGCAGGAAGCUCGGACACAAUCAUCUACACCACCAUCUUCGGUUUCACAAACAUUCUGAUUGCAGCCUUCCGAACCAUCAAACCGUCGAAAUCGACGACCUGCGCAGUGUUCUUCAGGAGUGUUCCAAGCUGUUCGAAGACACACAAAUCCGAUUCACCACGUAUGCACCCAGCGGAUUUCCAUCAAAGCCAUCAAAGGCGGAAAGCCAUCAAAGAUGUGGGCAUGUUGCAUCCGACAACGAGGGCAGCAGCUUCCAGAAUGCUCUGUAGAAGUAAUUGAAAGGACUGCUUAAUUUGCUCCUGCUGCAUUCUGGUGUUCAUCGUCGGUGAUCAUCAUUAUUGGCGACGAAAGCAGCACAGGCAAAUUUAUCACAACAGGACCAGUUGCUCGUUCAGUCGUUAUGUACGAUGUACCGCCGCUUGUCGAUGGCUCUUGGUUACCACCAUCAACUAUCUUGCCUGGCGAUCGGAUCUGGCUAGGAACACUGAUCCUUCAGCAGCCGCUAUCGCCGAUGCAGAAGCACUGGUGGCUAAUUGUUGUCUUACAACAGCAGUCUUCAUACCACGCUGAUUCUUCGGAGCAUGAACUUCGGCAAACGAUGCAAUCGAUGGUACUGCCGAUCCCGUCAAUGCCUGUUGUCUACCGAUCUUCAUACCUGAUUCCCGCGGUAUAGCAUCAGCAACCGGUACCAAUGAUGGCGCAGCAGUACAAGUUGACGGUUGCAGUCCAUGUUGCUGGCCUAGCGGACGGAAUGGUGCAGGAACACGAGCUGUGCUGUGAGAAUUACAGCUGGCUCUCACAACCGUAUGGAAGCCGCAGCGAGUUGGUAACAUCAAGAUCAUCACCACCGCACGAAGCGCAGCCUAUUGAAGCAAGCCUAAGCGGACAGCAACCACCUGCAGCAAACGUACGCCGAACGAAUGGACGUGGUAGACACGUUAUGAUUGCAAGGCGAUACUUGCGCUCUGAAAAUGCUAGCACAGAUGUUUGAGCCACAGAGGUGACGUUUCGAGAGUGUAAAAACAUGCCUGGCCCACAGUGUCAGAUAAGCCGUUCUCAUCAAUGACAUACCAUGUACGGUCGGUUAGUUACACUCCAUCACGAAGGACUCGAUGACGACGCAACUCCUGCACGUUCACCUGCAAUCUCAUCUACGGUACACAUACUAUUAAAGUGAACAGAUACGAACACAAAACUCUAAACAGCACUAAAGGUAAUCAUCUAAAAUUCUACUCAGCAUUAAAGGUUAUCAUCAUCAUCAUCACACACGUACCGCCAUCAUCACUUUUAUAAUUACAGUGCUGCCCAGAAAUAUAGAGAACGGAUAUUUCACGGAAAUAGUAGAACUUUUUGUUGGGUAGGUGCACCAAUUAUGGACGAGUUUGUACAGUAUUUGGACUAUAACAAGAAUUGUGACAAAACUACCGAAUAAAAAUUCAUGAACAAAGGAGAAGGAGAUAGACACACAUCUAAGCUACCUUAUUGCUUUUACAUUUUGUAAAUUAAUCAUUUUUUACAAAAGUUAUAGCCGUUUUCCAAAACCUCUUCCAUGCACCAAUUGUUGUGCUAUGUGUUCCAAAUGUUGUGCUAGUCCAAAAAAUGCGGUAGGAUUGUUUGAUCUUACCAAAUCUGAUCGAAAUUGAUUUUCAACAUCAAGAGGAAUAUUUUUAAGGAAUUUACAAUUACAGUGGAGCGUCCUUUAUCCGGGCUUCUCGGGACUUGACCUCGCCCGGAUACGCGAAUAACGCGGAUAAUGAGUCAAAUGAUAUAUU
Molecule: RNA transcript, 2648 nt
Organism: Anopheles merus
Lineage: Eukaryota; Metazoa; Arthropoda; Insecta; Diptera; Culicidae
Exons: 11
Source: RefSeq, a predicted model, not a curated record